Molecule: long non-coding RNA, 2896 nt
Organism: Anolis carolinensis (green anole)
Lineage: Eukaryota; Metazoa; Chordata; Lepidosauria; Squamata; Anolidae
Source: Ensembl
AUGGUGGAACAAAUCAACCAAGCAUUUCAGUAUUUCAUGGUGACCAGUCUUUGCCUGACUUUCUCACUAGUGCAUUUCUACAUUUUGAAGGAGAUUGGAAGAAAGGAAUCAAUCCAAGAGUUGAAAAUGGAAACAAACUGGUGUGAGAAAGAGACCUGGAGACAUACUGAAGCUAUAUAUGGACCUCUUCUUCAGGAGUUGACCAGAAAAUGUUAAGGUCAGAUUCUUAUUAAAAUUUAACAUUUCUAAAAUCCAUUAUUUAUUGGAACCAAACAGAUAAUUGAUUAUUGUUCCUUUCUUGCCAGAUGAAAUUUUCAAGCCAAGACUUAGAAGUAUGUAUGACGUUUAACAAUUCUUUGCUUAUAUAUGGAUUUAUUUCCAGGCUGGAAAGAGAUUUUUAAAAAUAAAGUUCUUUCAUUAGUGAGUGGCAAAAAGAAAGUUUAGACAUUAUGGAUUUUAACAUGAUUUUAAAAUGUAAACAACACAAUUUUCUUUAAAAACCCUCGUGAUUUAGGGGAUGAUAGUUCUGAAAUUAAUCCAAAAGAGAGAAAUGGGACAAAUGUCACAGGCAAAUAUGAUAAACAUGAAGGUAGGUCCUCAGUGGUAUCCUUUACUGCAAUUGAAGAAAAAAUUGCAAUUGAAAUAAAAAUGUGUACUUUACAAACAAAAGAUAUGGUCAAGAUGGCAAUUCAGAGGUAAGAAACAACCUUUAGUUUUUAACAGAUUUGUGUCCAGAAGAAAGGAAUCCAGCAGAUAAGGUAAGAAUGUCAAGAUUUUAGGCUACCAAAGUCUAUCCUAACUUUGUCUAGAUUUUUGUCCUGGAAAAGUAUGAGAUUCCAUGGUUUUGAUCAUGAUGAAGCAUGAAGCAAACCAUGAUCAAACAUGCAACAAAAGAACAACUUCAGGAAGAUAAGAAUCUUUCCAGUGACCUUACAAACUUGUUGGUAAGUCUUUACAAGGUAUGUUUCUUAGAGAGAGAAGUGCACAUCUUGGAAAAUGCUUUCCUUUAGUCCAUUGAACAGUAUUUCAGGAUAUUCGGUUGCCAAAGUCCCUAACUUUGUCUAGAUAUUUACUGGGAAAAUAUGAGAUUUCAGGUAUCUGACAACCUUCAAGAAGCAGCAAACGUAACACAAAUCUAAGGGAAAGAACAAGACUUGCUUCAGGAAGGUAUUAAGCUCCUUUGGGGAACUUAACAAACAUAUUGGUAAGUCUCCAUGAGGUAAGUUUCUCAAUUGAAAGAAUUCACACCCAAGAAAAUACUCAAGUAGCUAAAGAUUUAUUUUACCACUUUGUACUUGGAUAUAACCUUUUUGUAGACAUGAAAGUGAGUUUUCCUAUUUUGAAAGAACUGCAAACCAAUCCUGUUGUGUCUAAUAAAAGCAUCUGGAAAAAAGAUGAAAUAUUGCAAAAAUUUACAGUGACUAAAGUCUCUGCCUUACAUUCCUCAGCUUUCUAUGGAGAAAGGAAUCAAAGAACUUAGGUAAGAAAUUCAUUAUCCCCACUACCUAAAGGUUGCCAUUUAUUUUAUGGUCUGGCUCCCUCCUUAAUAUUUUAUUCAUCUUUGAUUGCGGUGGUUAAAAUGAUUUCUCCAUCCAGAGUGAAAAUAACUGGGAAAAGGAGGAAGACGUUGAGAGAGUAGAUGUGGAGGUAUACUUUGGGAGUUGGCUGGACAAGGUUGUAUUCUAUACAGACAUUUUUAGCAUACAUGCAAUAAUUCGUUUACUGAAAAGAAAAAAAUGGCAAUUGUUCCUAUUUUUCUAGAAAGGUUCAGAAGCAACUAUGUUGUUUAACAUUUGUUUGCUAUGUUACUGACUUCCUUCCAGGUAUGCAAGAGAUUUUAGAAAUUCUUAAAUGUUAUUUUAGUUACCAAAUUAAUUCAAGAAGACAGACAUCACCAAUGUGAUGGUAAGUCCUGAAAUGUUAUCCUUUACUGUAGGGAACGAUCCGUGGUAUUUUUCCUUGCUGGCUCCCUGGAUGGGUGAGUGUGACGGUUCCUUGAUGCUUUGGUGACUUUUUGUUUUGCAGUUUUGGAAGGGAUUGUCCAAUGCAAAAAGCUCUGUAGAUCAUUCAUUGUUGUAAGAUAGGUAACAAAGAUCAUAACAUUGAUAGUUUGGCAAGAUCAAAAAAGCAAGGCGUAACACAAACUCCAGUGAGGUGAGAAACAUUUCUCUUAUAAAUGCUGUUUUUUCAAACAUAUUUGUGUUGAUUGCCAAAGACCAAUGAUUUUUUCACCUUUUCUCCAUCCUUCUUUUGGUCUAGCAGGGGAUAUGGACUUAUACUUUAAGUGUCUUUAUUCUGUCCAUUUAGAUAUUAAUUUAUUUUCCAUUGAGUGGGCUGAAAAGGAAUGUUGACAAUGAAAAAAACUGUGUGAGAACUUCGUUUUAGGAACUGUCUUCAAAAAUCUUAUUUGCUGACAGGGAGACACUGAGAUCAUAUGAGGGUAAGAAAGCAAUUCCUCUUGUGAAUCAGACUGUUGGUAUCCUUUACUGGCUUCCUUGGUAGUUUUUUUUUCCCUUGCUGUUUCCUUUGAUGGUUUGACAAUGAUUUCAUAUUUAGUUAUUUCUUUGCAGAUACCAAACUGUUGGUAUCAUUUACUGGAGAGAUAGGUUUGUAAUCGUUUUUACCUUGCUGGCUCACUAAAAAUGUCAUGAUGAUGGUUUGACAACUUGUUGUAGAAGCUUUUCAUAGCCGGAAUCACUGGGUUGCUGUGAGUUUUCCGGGCCAUGAAGCAUCAGGAGACUAUGCUUCUGGAAUAUGGCCAUAAAGCCCAGAAAACUCACAGCAACCCAGUUUGACAAUUAUUUCAUAUUUAGUUACUUCUUUGCAGAUUUGGAAGGGAUUGCCCAAUGCAAAAGGAUCCGCAUUGGACCCAUUAUUUGAAGAUAGGUGACAAAAC